This 449-nucleotide long non-coding RNA is filed under the name Pongo abelii (Sumatran orangutan). Its description in RNAcentral is "lincRNA". The record is from RNAcentral. Lineage: Eukaryota; Metazoa; Chordata; Mammalia; Primates; Hominidae.
AGAGGGGUUGUGGCUUUGAGGACAAUUGUUCAAGUGAGAAGAGGGCUGUGCAGAUCUCAAGAUGACCUUGGGAUCCUGAUGGGAAAUUUUCCUGCUUCUGGAGGAGGGAAGCAGAGGGCUAUUUUUCCUCCUCUGGGCCAGGGAUGCAUGGAAUGGCAGGGGUGGGGGCUCCCAGCUAUGGAGACUGGGAGGGCAGGUCGGGGUCCCUGGAAGCAGAUCCUGAGACAAAGUUCCCUGUGCAAGAGAUUUUUUACAAAGGUGUGCCCAGCUCUUGGUGGCCCAGGGUGGGCCUUGGCCUUCAGCCUGCUGACCCAGGACCCUCACUGCUUCCAUAGUGGGAAUGAGUGCCUGUCUGAGCCCCAUCCUGACCCUGCUGGGAGCAUUCCAUUGUGUGAGGACAUCGGAGGAUGCAAGUCCCCAAGACCUCCCCGACACUGCUGGUGGAGUGC